UUGGAAUAUGAAGGAUGUAAAACAUAGUUAGACUGUCACAGAUUGCAUGUUAGGAGUAGUUAUCUCCUUGCCUAUACCAGUAUCUAAUAGAAGGUUUCGUGCUAUGUUAAAACACUCUGUUGCAAGCUUGAGCAGACAGAGUUAAUAGUAUCAAGAGGCUUUUAGCCAGCAGUGGGACGUGUGGGUUGGCCUCAGAAAUUAGCUUUAAUAAAAGGCACUCCUCACUUCUUUGCUUUCUGCUUUUUUCUUCUCUAAUAAGCAUUAAAUAGCAUCCAAACCCUGAUGUGAAGAAGAUGCUGGCUGGGGAAACAGCAGCACAUGGAGCCUUUCAUCAAAGGGAUAUCAAAGCAUUCUGCAGCUGAACCUGGGAGGGAUAUGAAUAUGCUUAUUUUGACAGUUGUGCAGCACUGAGGCAGGCAGCCAACUGAUGAUUCUCCAGCAUGUGACUGUGAGGAGGGAAAGCUGUCCCCUGUCACGGCAGCAUAGUGGCGCGUUUGACAUCUCCUGUUAAAGACAGAAUGGACUUCAAAGCAUGGGAGCAAAAUUCUGCAUUCAUCAGAGCCUACUGACAAGAUUUCAUCCCAGCUAUUAACCUCUCAGCACUCGGAGCCUGGCUCACAAUGAGAGCAAGAUAAGGCUGCCCUGGAGCUACAAGCCAUUAACUGAAACACAUAUGCAGCAUUAUCAAACUGAGCAAAGCCUGAAAUCAAAAGGGACUCCUAGGCCACUGGCAAUCACUUAUCCCUUUUGCAGCAUAAGGGCAUCCAGGAAGAAUUACACAGUUCAUGACUGAAGAAAAUCCAGCUGCUUUUACUUCUAGCUGCAACAGAUUGGUACAUAAUGUGAUUUUCCUCGCUUCUCCUUUCAUGGUACUAGUUUUGUUUUUAAGGGGAAUAUUUAUGAAAACAUCAUCCUACAAUAGCCUAAUAAAGCAAUGCCUGCAAAGUGAACAUAAGCAUCGCUAAAGGUUUGCAGCCUUCCGGGACUCUGGUGUAAACUCUAAAUCCAGAACCAGCAACUCUGGCAUUCAGAUGACAUCGGUGACCUCACCAGGUUUUGGCUAAGAAAUGCCAUGGAAGUUCUCUCCUCAGAUGGUACCUGAC
Long non-coding RNA from Pezoporus occidentalis (night parrot), 1103 nucleotides. RefSeq lists it as uncharacterized. NCBI's taxonomy places the organism in Eukaryota, Metazoa, Chordata, Aves, Psittaciformes, Psittacidae. The record is from RefSeq and is a predicted model, not a curated record. The transcript is spliced from 4 exons.